Molecule: ribosomal RNA, 584 nt
Filed under: uncultured bacterium
Lineage: Bacteria
Description: partial 16S ribosomal RNA
Rfam family: Bacterial small subunit ribosomal RNA
Source: RNAcentral
UGGGGAAUUUUGGACAAUGGGCGCAAGCCUGAUCCAGCCAUGCCGCGUGCGGGAAGAAGGCCUUCGGGUUGUAAACCGCUUUUGUCAGGGAAGAAAUCUUCUGAGUUAAUACCUCGGGAGGAUGACGGUACCUGAAGAAUAAGCACCGGCUAACUACGUGCCAGCAGCCGCGGUAAUACGUAUGGUGCAAGCGUUAAUCGGAAUUACUGGGCGUAAAGCGUGCGCAGGCGGUUUUGUAAGACAGAGGUGAAAUCCCCGGGCUCAACCUGGGAACUGCCUUUGUGACUGCAAGGCUUGAGUGCGGCAGAGGGGGAUGGAAUUCCGCGUGUAGCAGUGAAAUGCGUAGAUAUGCGGAGGAACACCGAUGGCGAAGGCAAUCCCCUGGGCCUGCACUGACGCUCAUGCACGAAAGCGUGGGGAGCAAACAGGAUUAGAUACCCUGGUAGUCCACGCCCUAAACGAUGUCAACUGGUUGUUGGGAGGGUUCCUUCUCAGUAACGUAGCUAACGCGUGAAGUUGACCGCCUGGGGAGUACGGCCGCAAGGUUGAAACUCAAAUGAAUUGACGGGGUCAUAGCUGUUUCC